AUUGUGAGGUAUUGUUUGCGUUUGCAACUCUACUGAGCCUUCUUUUCCUGAGCGUUCUGGUGUCUGAGGGUCCUGUGCUCUGUGCUUGGAUCCAUUCCUCCAUCCAACCAGUUUGUGUGCAUUCAUUACAUUUGGUGGAGCCAGAGUCUAACACUUUAAAUCGAUUCUGAAUCCUCAAGAUAUGACACGAUACUACCAAGAAGUAAAUAAUCAGUUGAUGUUGAGCAGCUGGUGGUCAUGCUACACAUACUGUCAUCUACAAUGUUGUUCUGUUCACUUUUACUCUAUUUUGAGUUCAUAGGUCUCAGUUCAGAACAGGUAAUUUCACCCUACACUGAUGUACAACUGGCUACAGAAAAGGACAGUGUUAAACUUUCUUGCAACUACACCUCUGGAAGAAAUCUUCAAUGGUAUCGACAAUAUCCUAAAUCAUCACCAGAUUUAUUGGUUAUGGAACAUAUGCCUGCAACAACAUCAGGGAUCUCCAUAGAACAUGAUAAAAAUGCCAAACGUGUGGAUCUGAUGAUCUCCUCUGUUGAAGUGACAGACUCUGCUCUGUACUACUGUGCUUUGGAGCCCACAGUGACAGGAAACCCAGACACACUGUACAAAAACCUGUCAACAUACAUAUCAUGUCAGUUUCAAGAGGGGGUGUACAAUCAAGUUCCAAGUUAAGCCUAGGCAAUGUAAAUCUAUAAAAAGGAUUUAAUUUAUUGUGAACAGAUUACAUAUAUGUAAAUGGUAGAUUUGUCUUGAACCAAUUGCUUAUUUGAGUUACAGAACAGCAUUAUUUCAGGUACCUUGGAC
Long non-coding RNA from Esox lucius (northern pike), 807 nucleotides. The record is from Ensembl. Lineage: Eukaryota; Metazoa; Chordata; Actinopteri; Esociformes; Esocidae.